UAGAAGCUGUUCCAGUAUUUUAGGAUACAGCAGAAAUCCUUAUUUCUUCCGGUGCAGGGGGGGACACUUUAUAAUGACUGUUAGCACUUCCUUCUUUCAAUAUUUGUGCAACUUUAUCUCGACCUGCAAGUUGCACGGUGACGCAAAUCCGCCCCCAUGCUCAUAAUAAACAGAGGAAAUCUAUUCCCCGCGAAAACGAAAACACAAUUAACAUCAGAGGCGAUACUUCAUCCGCAAGGCCCCUCAAGAUUCUCACUGCGGGUCACGGCCAAUGCCAUCUUGUGACCAGUACUUAAAAGGCACGGAAGCCACGAUGACCCCGGCUGCCUCCUAUCAUCACGGUGUUUUCGAGUGAGACUUUUCCGGGUUAAAAUUAGCGGUGAGAUACUAAAGGUUUGCCCUCCAUCACGCAGUCAAAACAAUCCAGGGAAGAGGAUAUGGCAGACACAGCACGCCUCCAGUUAUUUCAGUGACCGACGAUUAGUUUUUUUGUUUUUUUUCUUUUCAGCGGGAAGCAUCAAAAACAGCGCUCUGCGUCUCUCUGCGGAGCUGUAUAAAUGAUCGCAGGUGGGAUUUCUGCUUGUGCCAGCAACUCCAGCAUCAUUCAAAAUCUGCAAGAAUGAAGAAAAGACACAUGUACAGGAGAGGAGACAUACCACUUCAUGGGCUUGUUGUGAAACUAGAGACCAGAAAACCAGC
Periophthalmus magnuspinnatus is the source of this 699-nucleotide long non-coding RNA. RefSeq lists it as uncharacterized. The transcript is spliced from 4 exons. NCBI's taxonomy places the organism in Eukaryota, Metazoa, Chordata, Actinopteri, Gobiiformes, Gobiidae. The record is from RefSeq and is a predicted model, not a curated record.